UACGUAGGGUGCAAGCGUUGUCCGGAAUUAUUGGGCGUAAAGAGCUCGUAGGCGGUUUGUCGCGUCGGCUGUGAAAGCCCGGAGCUCAACUCCGGGUCUGCAGUCGAUACGGGCAGACUUGAGUGUUGCAGGGGAGACUGGAAUUCCUGGUGUAGCGGUGAAAAUGCGCAGAUAUCAGGAGGAACACCGGUGGCGAAGGCGGGUCUCUGGGCAACAACUGACGCUGAGGAGCGAAAGCG
RNAcentral lists this ribosomal RNA (239 nucleotides) under uncultured bacterium. Its description in RNAcentral is "partial 16S ribosomal RNA". It matches the Rfam family "Bacterial small subunit ribosomal RNA", at positions 524 to 761 of the family's 1533-position model. The record is from RNAcentral.